AUGUCGCCACCACCUCUAGCUUGCCACUUGAUGCCACAUAUAUCUUGCUCAACCAUCCUGCAGAUGAUUCGCCAGAUGCCGGUCGCAUCCGGGGCGAUCGCCUCUGCCUUGUUGUUCACCACUCUCCUGUCCCUCCUAUUCCUGUCUGAACAUUUCGAGACACAAGAGGAGGAGCUAGCUGCUGCAGGACGCGGGUCGUCACCGAGAUUGUCGGAGUUGGCUUGCAGUAGCUUCCUCCUUGAUCUCUGCAGCUGCUGCCUCGGCGCCAGCCGGGUUUCGCCUCCAUCUGGUACAUGCAGAGACAAUGAUGCCUCAUCAGUACAUGAACAAGCAAACUGA
RNAcentral lists this ribosomal RNA (339 nucleotides) under Triticum aestivum (bread wheat). RNAcentral describes it as "partial small subunit ribosomal RNA". The record is from RNAcentral. Lineage: Eukaryota; Viridiplantae; Streptophyta; Magnoliopsida; Poales; Poaceae.